RNAcentral lists this long non-coding RNA (285 nucleotides) under Elaeis guineensis (African oil palm). RNAcentral's name for it is "long non-coding RNA (EGUI_LNC015152)". Lineage: Eukaryota; Viridiplantae; Streptophyta; Magnoliopsida; Arecales; Arecaceae. The record is from RNAcentral.
GGGGGAAGAAUACCUGCGACGGCCUCUGCCUCUAAAGGCAAAAGGCCUCGACCGACGGAAGUACUGUCGAUUCCACCGGGGCCACGGCCACAAUACCGAGCAAUGCAUCCAGCUUAAGGAUGAGAUCGAAGCUCUCAUCCACCGAGGGUAUCUCGAUAAAUUUCGGAGGAACCCGCCGACUCAGCCAGUGGCCGACCGACAACCCCAGCCGACUGAGGAAGCGACGACUAAUCAGCCGACGGUCGGGGUCAUCAAUAUGAUUUCCAAACGACUUGGCCCGGGGAC